UUAAUUGGUUGCACAAAGACCAAGCCAGGAUGAGCAGACACGGAUUCAUUAAGCCAGGUGAAACCAAUCCUGGAUAGGUGCGCGCUCACGGCUCACUCAAAUAGACCCCGCCACAGAUCACAGAUUAACUGAUUUACCAUGGCAACUAGAGCCGCGUACUUUUCCCCGUCGGAAGCACAAAUCCUCAUGGAGGCAUACGAGGAGGUAAAAGAUAUAAUUAAGAAGAAAGGCAACACCGCCACAGUGAUAAAGCAAAGAGAAAAAGCGUGGCAAAGUAUUGCAGACCGCCUGAAUGCAUUAAACAUGAACGGGCCAAAACGGACAUGGCAGCAGGUCAAAAUCAAAUACAAGAACAUUCUGCAGAAUGCAGUGAAAAAGAAUACCCACAGACAAGGCACGGGUGGUGGGUCACCAAAGGCUGACCUUACCCCAGCAGAGGACAUGGCCUUGGAGCUAAAUAAAGGCAGGCCCGUCUUUUAGGGGAUCCCUGGGGGGAAAGAGACGAGCAUAGGUUCCUCCCAAGAUGCCACCCGCUUCAUUCAAGUGCCUGGCAGCACUGUGUUCCUGUUAGAGCCACCAGCACAAGCACCAGACGAUGCUGAUCCAGGUGAAGGCCCCAGUGCAGCAGCAACAGCACAUGAUGGAGACGAUGAUGAGGAGGAGACAGAAGGCAUGAGGUAUCAUGUUAAGACUGUGAAAGUACUAUUUACUCUACAAUGGUGAGGAGUCCUCAUCAAAAUCAAAAAAUUUAAUUUCUUUUACAGGACCCAGAUGCUAUACAGUGGGAAAACCAGCCUGGCAACAUAGUGCGUAUUAAUAAAAGGACACCACAUCCUGCCAAAUUCCAGCUGCGCUAAUUGUAUUGUGUUCACAGAGCUCACAAGCUAUCAGAAAGUUGUAUGGCAACCACCUCCGGCGCCAAAUAGAACUGGCAGACAUAGACAUUCAGUACAAGAAGAAAAAGAUGGAAAAUCUUGCACUGGAGUCCGAAAUAAAAAAGAGGACAAUUAGGAAACUGGACCUUGAAAUAAAAAAACUUGAGAGGGAGCUCCAAGAAGAUGACACAGCUCAAAAUAAAAAUUAGGUAUAUUCUCGUAAAGUCAAGUGAGCCAUGACAUAUGAGCUCUUAUUGUGAGCACACAGGACGGUGGCAUCUUUCUAAGUUUUUUUUUAUUUUCCCAGCA
Oncorhynchus nerka (sockeye salmon) is the source of this 1184-nucleotide long non-coding RNA. RefSeq lists it as uncharacterized. The transcript has 6 exons. NCBI's taxonomy places the organism in Eukaryota, Metazoa, Chordata, Actinopteri, Salmoniformes, Salmonidae. The record is from RefSeq and is a predicted model, not a curated record.